UACGGAGGGUGCAAGCGUUGCUCGGAAUUACUGGGCGUAAAGCGCGUGUAGGCGGUUUCGUGUGUCUGAUGUGAAAUCCCCGGGCUCAACCCGGGAGGUGCAUUGGAAACUGCGAGACUAGAGUCCCGGAGAGGAAGGUGGAAUUCCAGGUGUAGCGGUGAAAUGCGUAGAUAUCUGGAAGAACACCGGUGGCGAAGGCGGCCUUCUGGACGGUGACUGACGCUGAGACGCGAAAGCGUGGGGAGCAAACAGG
RNAcentral lists this ribosomal RNA (253 nucleotides) under uncultured bacterium. Its description in RNAcentral is "partial 16S ribosomal RNA". It matches the Rfam family "Bacterial small subunit ribosomal RNA", at positions 524 to 776 of the family's 1533-position model. The record is from RNAcentral.